RNAcentral lists this ribosomal RNA (427 nucleotides) under uncultured bacterium. Its description in RNAcentral is "partial 16S ribosomal RNA". It matches the Rfam family "Bacterial small subunit ribosomal RNA", at positions 355 to 774 of the family's 1533-position model. The record is from RNAcentral.
UGGGGAAUAUUGGACAAUGGGCGAAAGCCUGAUCCAGCCAUGCCGCGUGUGUGAAGAAGGUCUUCGGAUUGUAAAGCACUUUAAGUUGGGAGGAAGGGCAUUAACCUGAUACGUUAGUGUUUUGACGUUACCGACAGAAUAAGCACCGGCUAACUCUGUGCCAGCAGCCGCGGUAAUACAGAGGGUGCAAGCGUUAAUCGGAAUUACUGGGCGUAAAGCGCGCGUAGGUGGUUUGUUAAGUUGGAUGUGAAAUCCCCGGGCUCAACCUGGGAACUGCAUUCAAAACUGACUGACUAGAGUAUGGUAGAGGGUGGUGGAAUUUCCUGUGUAGCGGUGAAAUGCGUAGAUAUAGGAAGGAACACCAGUGGCGAAGGCGACCACCUGGACUAAUACUGACACUGAGGUGCGAAAGCGUGGGGAGCAAACA